RNAcentral lists this ribosomal RNA (388 nucleotides) under uncultured bacterium. RNAcentral describes it as "bacterial SSU rRNA". It matches the Rfam family "Bacterial small subunit ribosomal RNA", at positions 28 to 417 of the family's 1533-position model. The record is from RNAcentral.
GACGAACGCUGGCGGCGUGCUUAACACAUGCAAGUCGAGCGGUAAGGCCCUUUUGGGGGUACACGAGCGGCGAACGGGUGAGUAACACGUGGGUGACCUGCCCUUAGCUCUGGGAUAAGCCUGGGAAACUGGGUCUAAUACCGGAUAUGACUCCAUGACGCAUGUUGUGGGGUGGAAAGCCUUGUGCGGCUAGGGAUGGGCCCGCGGCCUAUCAGCUUGUUGGUGGGGCGAUGGCCUACCAAGGCGACGACGGGUAGCCGGCCUGAGAGGGCGACCGGCCACACUGGGACUGAGACACGGCCCAGACUCCUACGGGAGGCAGCAGUGGGGAAUCUUGCGCAAUGGGCGAAAGCCUGACGCAGCGACGCCGCGUGAGGGAUGACGGCCU